This 3940-nucleotide long non-coding RNA is filed under the name Sus scrofa (pig). RNAcentral's name for it is "lncRNA (ENSSSCG00050059487.1)". Lineage: Eukaryota; Metazoa; Chordata; Mammalia; Artiodactyla; Suidae. The record is from RNAcentral.
AGAUAACUACUGUCCCAGGGGACAUCUGACUUCAACCUCAGGAGAAGCCCUGAGCCAGACUGACCAGCUGAGCUACUCCUGAAUUCCUGGCUUGUAAAGGCUGUGGAGAGAUAAUAAAUGACUAUUGAUGUUUGAGGUCACUAUGUUUUGGGAUGAUUUGUCAUGCAGCAUUAGGUAAACUGAACAGAUACCAUUGUUGAUGUGUCGGAAAGGAAAAUUUCUUUGCUUGCUUUUUUUUCUUAGCUGCCGACUGUGUUCAGAGAUCUUUUUACUUUUUAAAGUAGUGCUGCUAGGAAGCUGGGUUAGCAGCAGAGAGGCACCUAUGCCAGGUGAUAUCGGGGUGCUUAGUUUUUACUUUGGGGGUGUGAUUGGGGGCAGAUGUGGCAGUCCAUUAUACACAAGUGGGGGACUUGGGUAUGCUUAACUCUAGGACUAUAACUUUUCUGUGUCGGGCUGGUGUCAGGUGUGUAAUUUUGGGCUGCGUAGGCCUGUUGGUCUGGGAGCAGCUUUCAGUAGUGAGGAGGAGGAGGAGAGGACUGUAUAGAAGCAGGCACUUGGGAGACAGGGCGAAGAUGAACUGGGUUUCUUUCUUUUUUUUUUAAUUUUUAUUUUUUGUCUUUUUGCCUUUUGAGAGCCGCUCCUGCGGCAUAUGGAGGUUCCCAGGCUAGGGGUCUAAGGAGCUGUAGCCAGAGCCACAGCAACGCGGGGACUGAGCCGCGUCUGCAACCUACACCACAGCUCACGGCAACGCCAGAUCCUUAACCCAGUGAGCAAGGCCAGGGAUUGAGCCCACAACCUCAUGGUCCCUAGUCGGAUUCAUUAACCACUGAGCCAUGAUGGGAACUCCAAACUGGGUUUAUUUCUCAUGGUUAUUUUUCUUCUAGGAAGUGGUUCUAUCUUUAGGGUAUUUCCAUAAAACCAAUAGAUACCACACACUUUUACCCUCCUCCUCCUCCUCCUCUCCUCUUUCCCAUUCUCCCUUAAAGUAGUGGUCUGCUUUGGGGGAGGAUUGGAAUCAGGCCUGCUGAGGCUUGGGAAGACAGGAGCUGGAUGAGGAGAGUGUCCUGGGGAAGGAACUUUGCAAGAAAGGGAAGUCGGCUCCGGAGCUGCCGAGCCACACGUUCUCAGCCUCUUGCUCCUACCCAUGCUCUAGAGGCUUCUUCUCCACCUCUCAAACUACUGGAGAUUCUAGUGGGUGUGCCUGGGUAGCAGGUGGGAGUUUAAAACGUCUCUCAGAUUGAGAAUGAGGGAUCCACAUCCCAGAUGCCACAUUAUUUCCCUUCCUCAUGAUCUCAUUCAUUGAGUAAAGCCCUAGUAGGACCUGAACCUAAAAGCCAGCACGUCCCUGUUGCAUAGGAUUCAUCCUUUUUUUUAAUUUUUUUUUAUUUUUUGUCUUUUGUCUUUUUAGGGCCGCACCUGUGACAUAUGGAGGUUGCAGAUGCUGCCCGGAUCCCGCGUUGCUGUGGCCCUGGCGUAGGCCCGUGGCUACAGCUCCGAUUCGACCCCUAGCCUGAGAACCUCCGUAUGCCGCAGGAGUGGCCCAGGAAAUGGCAAAAAGACAAAAAAAAAAAAAAAAAAAAAAAAAGUUUUAGAGCCUGAAAAUUUGAGGCAUGCAAUUCCUUUCUUGCUUUAGGAGUUGUUUCCUGACAUGGAAGUCGGUUUUUAUCUGGUUUGGAGAAUCGUGGCUCUUUUGUCCUCGCCAGCAGGAGUUCAUGUUGCUCAUUUUUUGUGUGGAUGUGCAUCGAAUGAUGGUGGCUGUGACCCUGAAGCCCAGGGAGCAGCCUGAAAGCUUUGGUGAGAAUUUUAAUUGUGCAGCUUUAUCCUGGGGGCAAGUUCUCUCACCACCUCAGUGUUCAGAAAAGUCCAAAGCAAAUGUAAGUGAGGAAAAUGAGGUACAGGCCACAGCGCACAGGGAGGAGGAAGUCACCUCAGCUGUCCAAAUGGCCAGGGAGGGGCUGCCUGGGAGCACUCAUCCUGGCUGCCGCCUCCCUCCCUCCCUUCCUGAGGCCCCCUGUGGCUGUCAGAUCCGAGGCCUAGUCUCUCUCUCCUUGCUCUGCAGCAGCCUGGCUGACUGUUUUCCUUCUCAUGUGUGUUCAGGUACCUGUAAACUUGGGAGAAAAAUGACCUUUGGGGGUGAGGAUUUCUGGUGUUUGGUCUUUGUCCACAGGAGCUUUUUUUUUUUUUUUUUUUUUUAAAGGAAACCUUGAAGAGACUCCAUCUGCAUUUUGAGUUAAAACUAUGAGUGAAGGAGUUUCUCUUUUAUAGAAAACUGUCCAGAUGCUGGGUUAUUUUGAGGAGGGGAGGGUAGCGGUGGCGGGGAGGGCUGAUGGUGCAGAAGGAAUCAUAUAGAAAAGAGGCAUUUGGAGGAUUUCAGUAUGACUUGAAGCUGGCUCCUCAUUAUUAGUCUUUUGUGAGAGAAACGUUUUGGAAAACUUCACAGGAAGUUGAUUAAGAUCCCUACAAAUCACACUAUGGAUUCCCUUCUCUUCCAUUCAAGGCCGAGAGGCAGGAGCACCCCCUACUCCCUGCCAACCCCCACCCCCACCCCCAUGCACACACAUUGCUCUCCUACCAGAUUCAGCCUCUUUCUCUCUCUGCACUCUCCGAAUGGAUGAAAAGGCCAUUCCCUAGAGAAAGAAUCUACCCUUUCCUCCCCAUUCCCUUGGCCUGGUCUUGGUUCCUCCAGGCUGGAGGGGUUGGGCCUGGCUUUUUAGCAGGAGGGCCCAGUUGUUGGUCCAUUUGCCUGUGGCCCCAGUCAGCCCGCCCCUUUUUCUGCACAGACAGGUGAAGGCGCUGACGCUGUUCUUCUAAACUGGAAAAUGAAAUGCAAAACCGAAGUUAAUGUAACAUGGUUGAGAUUAAAUGCACCCAAAUCAGGAAAUUCAAAGUUAUGCUUCCCAUAGCAGCUAUAACUCAGCCUCGUGUGGUGUGUGUAGUAUUUUGUGUUAGUGCAGAUGGUGUUAUAUGUUAAGGCGUUAAAGUUAACACCAUAAGCAGAGCACAAAAUGCUUGAGGGGGGCUGAGUUAUGACUACCGUGUGAGCUGUAAGUGUUCUUGCAUAGGCUCUCGACUCCUGGAAUAAUUUUUCCCCUGCCCAUCAGGCCAAUUAUUGCCUUUCUUUUCAGUUAUAUCUCUGCUUUAAUACAUCUCUUCUUCCAGGGUCACCAUAAAUGAAUUCUUCUAUUGGUGGGAAAGGGGCAGCCCGCUAGGCCCUUUUGUCCUUUUUGUUGCUGCUUCCAUAAAUGUGGUGCUUCUCCCUCCCCAUCCCCAGCCCCCUUGGCAGGUUGCCGUCUGGCUUUCCCUGUGGUCCCCUCAUAGGGAUGGGCCUCCCCCGGCUCUCACUGUGGCUCCUCCCCAGUGCUCCCCAUAUGGGAACAAACGUUUGCUGUGUCCAGGUCUUGGCCCUGUUGUAACUUCAUGUGAAAGCUGAAGGGCCCUUUUCUAUUUGGAGCAGACACAGCAACAUAAAAAGUAAAAUAUACAUCUCGGGGAGGGGAGCACUGCUGCAUGGUGGUGCUACCUUGUGUUUUCGGCAUAUCAGAGGUACAAUCGAAGGAGUUUAUUUGCUCUAUUUGGACGGCUUCUCUACCUUCCCCAGGGUUUAUACCUUUAAGCUGCCAUAGCGUGGGGUUAGGCUGUGGAGUUGCCUGGGGGUGGCACCAGGAACUUUCCUUGGGGAGUGUUCGGUCACUGGUAACAAAAUCACCAUGUAAUUUAGUGCAAAUCGGGACACAUUCCCCCCGCCCAGGCUCUUCUUAUCCUGGUGGCCCCUCCAGAGCAGAGACAGCUGUUGGAAUGCAGAUUUUAUUAGAUACUAGGCUAAGGUUGGUGGUGGAGAAGAGCUUUAAAGAAUAGCGCCAUUGCUAAAUGGCGAAUGAAAUCAGGGACUGUAAACUAACAGAGACACUGAGCUGCCUUUCAGGGUUUUUGACGGACACAA